Molecule: long non-coding RNA, 1072 nt
Filed under: Betta splendens (Siamese fighting fish)
Lineage: Eukaryota; Metazoa; Chordata; Actinopteri; Anabantiformes; Osphronemidae
Description: lncRNA (ENSBSLG00000021812.1)
Source: RNAcentral
CGCGACCUCCUGGGGGUCUGCCGGGACUGCGGCGGGCGCGACCCCCUCCUGGGGGUCCGCCGGGACUGCGGCGGGCGCGACCCCCUCCUGGGGGUCCGCCGGGACUGCGGCUGGCGCGACCCCCUCCUGGAGGUCCGCCGGGACUGCGGCUGGCGCGACCUCCUCCUGGAGGUGCGCCGGGACUGCGGCUGGCGCGACCUCCUCCUGGAGGUGCGCCGGGACUGCGGCUGGCGCGACCUCCUCCUGGAGGUGCGCAGGAACUGCGGCUGGCGCAACCUCCUCCUGGAGGUGCGCAGGAACUGCGGCUGGCGCAACCUCCUCCUGGAGGUGCGCAGGAACUGCGGCUGGCGCAACCUCCUCCUGGAGGUGCGCAGGAACUGCGGCUGGCGCAACCUCCUCCUGGAGGUGCGCAGGAACUGCGGCUGGCGCAACCCCUCCUGGAGGUGCGCAGGAACUGCGGCGGGCGAACCUCCUCCUGGAGGUGCGCAGGAACUGCGGCUGGCGCAACCUCCUCCUGGAGGUGCGCAGGAACUGCGGCUGGCGCAACCUCCUCCUGGAGGUGCGCAGGAACUGCGGCUGGCGCGACCUCCUCCUGGAGGUGCGCAGGAGCUGUAGCUGGCGCGACCUCCUCCUGGAGGUGCGCAGGAACUGCGACUAGCGCGACCUCCUCCUGGAGGUGCGCAGGAACUGCGACUGGCGCGACCUCCUCCUGGAGGUGCGCAGGAACUGCGACUGGCGCGACCUCCUCCUGGAGGUGCGCAGGAACUACGGCUAGCGCGACCUCCUCCUGGGGACCGGCGGGCGCUGCGGCUCCACGGGUGACGGGGACUGGAACGACCGCUACAGGGCCGACAGGAACGGGGACUGGAACGACCGCUACAGGGUCGACAGGAACGGGGACUGGAACGACCGCUACAGGGUCGACAGGAACGGGGGACUGGAACGACCGCUAACAGGGCCGACAGGAACGGGGACUGGGAAUGACCGCUACAGGGUCGACAGGAACGGGGACUAUGGAAACGACCGCUACAGGGUCGACAGGAACGGGGACUGGAACGACCGCUACAGGGUC